UACGUAGGGUGCGAGCGUUAAUCGGAAUUACUGGGCGUAAAGCGUGCGCAGGCGGUGAUGUAAGACAGAUGUGAAAUCCCCGGGCUCAACCUGGGAACUGCAUUUGUGACUGCAUCGCUGGAGUGCGGCAGAGGGGGAUGGAAUUCCGCGUGUAGCAGUGAAAUGCGUAGAGAUCAGGAGGAAUACCGAUGGCGAAGGCAGGUCUCUGGGCUGACACUGACGCUCAUGCACGAAAGCGUGGGGAGCAAACAGG
Molecule: ribosomal RNA, 253 nt
Filed under: uncultured bacterium
Lineage: Bacteria
Description: partial 16S ribosomal RNA
Rfam family: Bacterial small subunit ribosomal RNA
Source: RNAcentral